This 402-nucleotide ribosomal RNA is filed under the name uncultured bacterium. RNAcentral's name for it is "bacterial SSU rRNA". It matches the Rfam family "Bacterial small subunit ribosomal RNA", at positions 355 to 774 of the family's 1533-position model. The record is from RNAcentral.
UGGGGAAUCUUGCACAAUGGGGGCAACCCUGAUGCAGCGACGCCGCGUGAGCGAUGAAGCCCUUCGGGGCGUAAAGCUCUUUCGACCGGAACGAUAAUGACGGUACCGGGAGAAGAAGCACCGGCUAACUACGUGCCAGCAGCCGCGGUAAUACGUAGGGUGCGAGCGUUAAUCGGAAUUACUGGGCGUAAAGCGUGCGCAGGCGGUUUUGUAAGACAGAUGUGAAAUCCCCGGGCUUAACCUGGGAACUGCGUUUGUGACUGCAAGGCUGGAGUACGGCAGAGGGGGGUGGAAUUCCACGUGUAGCAGUGAAAUGCGUAGAGAUGUGGAGGAACACCGAUGGCGAAGGCAGCCCCCUGGGCCUGUACUGACGCUCAUGCACGAAAGCGUGGGGAGCAAACA